Molecule: unclassified non-coding RNA, 331 nt
Filed under: Astraeus pteridis
Lineage: Eukaryota; Fungi; Basidiomycota; Agaricomycetes; Boletales; Astraeaceae
Description: partial internal transcribed spacer region
Rfam family: Eukaryotic small subunit ribosomal RNA (bases 1-46)
Source: RNAcentral
AAGUCGUAACAAGGUUUCCGUAGGUGAACCUGCGGAAGGAUCAUUACUGAAUUCCAAGGAGCAGAGGAGUGAAGGGAUUCUCCAGUGCUUCGGAGUGCUGUCGCUGGCCUUUGGCAUGUGCACGUCUCCGGAGUCCGACGGGUGUCCCUUCGUUCUCCGAAACUCCAUACCUCUCGAACACCUCUGUGCACCCGUUGUAGGUCUCGUCGGUGGGACCUAUGUAUUCAUUAAGCUCGCAUGUAUACAGAACGUCGUCUAGUCGCGUCGUCCGGCCCAGCGUCGGCGACCGCAUUAUAAUAUAUAACUUUCAGCAACGGAUCUCUUGGCUCUC